This 603-nucleotide ribosomal RNA is filed under the name uncultured fungus. RNAcentral's name for it is "SSU rRNA". It matches the Rfam family "Eukaryotic small subunit ribosomal RNA", at positions 819 to 1443 of the family's 1831-position model. The record is from RNAcentral. Lineage: Eukaryota; Fungi.
GGAAUAGGACGUGCGGUUCUAUUUUGUUGGUUUCUAGGACCGCCGUAAUGAUUAAUAGGGAUAGUCGGGGGCGUCAGUAUUCAGCUGUCAGAGGUGAAAUUCUUGGAUUUGCUGAAGACUAACUACUGCGAAAGCAUUCGCCAAGGAUGUUUUCAUUAAUCAGGGAACGAAAGUUAGGGGAUCGAAGACGAUCAGAUACCGUCGUAGUCUUAACCAUAAACUAUGCCGACUAGGGAUCGGGCGGCGUUUCUAUGAUGACCCGCUCGGCACCUUACGAGAAAUCAAAGUUUUUGGGUUCAGGGGGGAGUAAGGUCGCAAGGCUGGAACUUAAAGAAAUUGACGGAAGGGCACCACAAGGCGUGGAGCCUGCGGCUUAAUUUGACUCAACACGGGGAAACUCACCAGGUCCAGACAAAAUAAGGAUUGACAGAUUGAGAGCUCUUUCUUGAUCUUUUGGAUGGUGGUGCAUGGCCGUUCUUAGUUGGUGGAGUGAUUUGUCUGCUUAAUUGCGAUAACGAACGAGACCUCGGCCCUUAAAUAGCCCGGUCCGCGUCCGCGGGCCGCUGGCUUCUUAGGGGGACUAUCGGCUCAAGCCGAUGGAAG